CAGUCAAGAAGAAUCUCUAAACAAACUCUAAUCCAUCUGCAUGUGGGAGGUGCAGUCAAUACGUCACCGAAUGUGUCCCAACAAUCUAGUUGCAUCUUAAAGAGCUUUGGAUAGAGAGCAAGACAGCUUAAAUCUAGCUCUGGCUCAGCUAGCUUGCGUUUACCUCUGCAGUCUCCUUCUUUCUUGAUCCUAAUCUCUUCCAAGUUAGGAAAGUCAUCUAUUCCUGUCAUUGGCAAAGAUAAAGAUGGUUCCGACUUUUGUAAGACCUGCUAUAGCUCUGGUGACUCGCGGAUUUUGUAGAUCCGUCCACACUAUUUCUACAUCCAGAAUGGUAACUUCCAAAUCUGCUUUCUGGACUUCAAUGUCUGGUACAUAUCUUGGAUACGGUUAUUGGGCGUGGUACAAGAUGUUUGAGCAAGCUUCUCCAGAAGAUGAUGCAUAAUCAAAUUAUGCAUAUUUUGUUAUUUACUAAAAAAAAACUAUACUAUUGUUUCUUUUGUUGUAUUAAUCUCUUCUAUUAUGAAUGUAUGGACUAAAGAAGUUAACAUUAUAAUUAACAUUGUUUCUAAAGA
This is a long non-coding RNA of Brassica oleracea var. oleracea, 572 nucleotides long. RefSeq lists it as uncharacterized. The transcript has 3 exons. NCBI's taxonomy places the organism in Eukaryota, Viridiplantae, Streptophyta, Magnoliopsida, Brassicales, Brassicaceae. The record is from RefSeq and is a predicted model, not a curated record.